AUGCAAGUCGAGCGGCAGCGGGAAGAUAGCUUGCUAUCUUUGCCGGCGAGCGGCGGACGGGUGAGUAAUGCCUAGGGAUCUGCCCAGUCGAGGGGGAUAACAGUUGGAAACGACUGCUAAUACCGCAUACGCCCUACGGGGGAAAGGAGGGGACCUUCGGGCCUUCCGCGAUUGGAUGAACCUAGGUGGGAUUAGCUAGUUGGUGAGGUAAUGGCUCACCAAGGCGACGAUCCCUAGCUGUUCUGAGAGGAUGAUCAGCCACACUGGGACUGAGACACGGCCCAGACUCCUACGGGAGGCAGCAGUGGGGAAUAUUGCACAAUGGGGGAAACCCUGAUGCAGCCAUGCCGCGUGUGUGAAGAAGGCCUUCGGGUUGUAAAGCACUUUCAGUAGGGAGGAAAGGUAGCAGCUUAAUACGCUGUUGCUGUGACGUUACCUACAGAAGAAGGACCGGCUAACUCCGUGCCAGCAGCCGCGGUAAUACGGAGGGUCCGAGCGUUAAUCGGAAUUACUGGGCGUAAAGCGUGCGCAGGCGGUUUGUUAAGCGAGAUGUGAAAGCCCCGGGCUCAACCUGGGAAUUGCAUUUCGAACUGGCGAACUAGAGUCUUGUAGAGGGGGGUAGAAUUCCAGGUGUAGCGGUGAAAUGCGUAGAGAUCUGGAGGAAUACCGGUGGCGAAGGCGGCCCCCUGGACAAAGACUGACGCUCAGGCAC
RNAcentral lists this ribosomal RNA (712 nucleotides) under Shewanella baltica. RNAcentral's name for it is "bacterial SSU rRNA". It matches the Rfam family "Bacterial small subunit ribosomal RNA", at positions 55 to 754 of the family's 1533-position model. Lineage: Bacteria; Pseudomonadati; Pseudomonadota; Gammaproteobacteria; Alteromonadales; Shewanellaceae. The record is from RNAcentral.